This 443-nucleotide ribosomal RNA is filed under the name uncultured bacterium. RNAcentral describes it as "partial 16S ribosomal RNA". It matches the Rfam family "Bacterial small subunit ribosomal RNA", at positions 338 to 795 of the family's 1533-position model. The record is from RNAcentral.
CCUACGGGUGGCAGCAGUGGGGAAUUUUCGGCAAUGGGCGCAAGCCUGACCCAGCAACGCCGCGUGAAGGAAGAAGGCUUUCGGGUUGUAAACUUCUGUUAUGAGGGACGAAACAAAUGACGGUACCUGACUAAGAAGCCCCGGCUAACUACGUGCCAGCAGCCGCGGUAAUACGUAGGGGGCAAGCGUUAUCCGGAUUUACUGGGUGUACAGGGUGCGUAGGCGGUUUGGCAAGUCAGAAGUGAAAGCCCGGGGCUCAACUCCGGGAUGGCUUUUGAAACUGUAGAACUAGAUUGCAGGAGAGGGCAGUGGAAUUCCUAGUGUAGCGGUAAAAUGCGUAGAUAUUAGGAAGAACACCAGUGGCGAAGGCGGCUGACUGGACUGUAAAUGACGCUGAGGCUCGAAAGCGUGGGGAGCAAACAGGAUUAGAUACCCCGGUAGUC